This 514-nucleotide ribosomal RNA is filed under the name Leptosphaeria sp. CJL-2014. Its description in RNAcentral is "eukaryotic LSU rRNA". The stretch from base 156 to 309 matches the Rfam family "5.8S ribosomal RNA". The record is from RNAcentral. Lineage: Eukaryota; Fungi; Ascomycota; Dothideomycetes; Pleosporales; Leptosphaeriaceae.
GAUGGUAGGGCUUCGGUCUUGCUUUCUGCCCUUCUCUUACUGAUUAUACCCAUGUCUUUUGCGUACUAUUUGUUUCCUUGGUGGGCUUGCCUGCCGAUAGGACAUCAUUAAACCUUUUGUAAUUGCAGUCAGCGUCAGAAAAACAUAAUAAUUACAACUUUCAACAACGGAUCUCUUGGUUCUGGCAUCGAUGAAGAACGCAGCGAAAUGCGAUAAGUAGUGUGAAUUGCAGAAUUCAGUGAAUCAUCGAAUCUUUGAACGCACAUUGCGCCCCUUGGUAUUCCAUGGGGCAUGCCUGUUCGAGCGUCAUUUGUACCCUCAAGCUCUGCUUGGUGUUGGGUGUUUGUCCCGCUUUUCGCGUGGACUCGCCUUAAAACAAUUGGCAGCCGGCAGAUUGGCCUGGAGCGCAGCACAUUUUGCGCCUCUUGUCAUGAUUGUUGGCAUCCAUCAAGACUAUUUUUUACUCUUGACCUCGGAUCAGGUAGGGAUACCCGCUGAACUUAAGCAUAUCAAA